Small nuclear RNA from Delphinapterus leucas (beluga whale), 118 nucleotides. Its record names the gene U2. It matches the Rfam family "U2 spliceosomal RNA". Rfam says of the family: U2 is a small nuclear RNA (snRNA) component of the spliceosome (involved in pre-mRNA splicing). The record is from Ensembl. NCBI's taxonomy places the organism in Eukaryota, Metazoa, Chordata, Mammalia, Artiodactyla, Monodontidae.
AUCGCUUCUCGGCCUUUUGGCUAAGAUCAAGUGUAAUAUCUGUUCUUAUCAGUUUAAUAUCUGAUACGUCCUCUAUCCGAGGACAAUAUAUUAAAAAUGCGAGCCAGUGGUAAUUUUC